GUGAACAUAGUUUAACUAAAACUCUAGAUUGUGAUUCUAGCAAUAAAGGUUAAAAUCCUUUUGUACACC
RNAcentral lists this transfer RNA (69 nucleotides) under Rana chaochiaoensis. RNAcentral describes it as "tRNA-His". It matches the Rfam family "tRNA". From Rfam's summary of the family: Transfer RNA (tRNA) molecules are approximately 80 nucleotides in length. Lineage: Eukaryota; Metazoa; Chordata; Amphibia; Anura; Ranidae. The record is from RNAcentral.